CGUUGGUGACCAGCGGAGGGACAUUACCGAGUUUACAACUCCCAAACCCCUGUGAACAUACCACUUGUUGCCUCGGCGGAUCAGCCCGCUCCCGGUAAAACGGGACGGCCCGCCAGAGGACCCCUAAACUCUGUUUCUAUAUGUAACUUCUGAGUAAAACCAUAAAUAAAUCAAAACUUUCAACAACGGAUCUCUUGGUUCUGGCAUCGAUGAAGAACGCAGCAAAAUGCGAUAAGUAAUGUGAAUUGCAGAAUUCAGUGAAUCAUCGAAUCUUUGAACGCACAUUGCGCCCGCCAGUAUUCUGGCGGGCAUGCCUGUUCGAGCGUCAUUUCAACCCUCAAGCACAGCUUGGUGUUGGGACUCGCGUUAAUUCGCGUUCCUCAAAUUGAUUGGCGGUCACGUCGAGCUUCCAUAGCGUAGUAGUAAAACCCUCGUUACUGGUAAUCGUCGCGGCCACGCCGUUAAACCCCAACUUCUGAAUGUUGACCUCGGAUCAGGUAGGAAUACCCGCUGAACUUAAGCAUAUCAAUAAGCGGAGGAAAAGAAACCAACAGGGAUUGCCCUAGUAACGGCGAGUGAAGCGGCAACAGCUCAAAUUUGAAAUCUGGCUCUCGGGCCCGAGUUGUAAUUUGUAGAGGAUACUUUUGAUGCGGUGCCUUCCGAGUUCCCUGGAACGGGACGCCAUAGAGGGUGAGAGCCCCGUCUGGUUGGAUGCCAAAUCUCUGUAAAGUUCCUUCAACGAGUCGAGUAGUUUGGGAAUGCUGCUCUAAAUGGGAGGUAUAUGUCUUCUAAAGCUAAAUACCGGCCAGAGACCGAUAGCGCACAAGUAGAGUGAUCGAAAGAUGAAAAGCACUUUGAAAAGAGAGUUAAAAAGUACGUGAAAUUGUUGAAAGGGAAGCGUUUAUGACCAGACUUGGGCUUGGUUAAUCAUCUGGGGUUCUCCCCAGUGCACUUUUCCAGUCCAGGCCAGCAUCAGUUUUCCCCGGGGGAUAAAGGCGGCGGGAAUGUGGCUCUCUUCGGGGAGUGUUAUAGCCCGUCGUGUAAUACCCUGGGGGGGACUGAGGUUCGCGCAUCUGCAAGG
Molecule: ribosomal RNA, 1081 nt
Filed under: Fusarium sp.
Lineage: Eukaryota; Fungi; Ascomycota; Sordariomycetes; Hypocreales; Nectriaceae
Description: eukaryotic LSU rRNA
Rfam family: Eukaryotic large subunit ribosomal RNA (bases 484-1081)
Source: RNAcentral